Molecule: transfer RNA, 71 nt
Filed under: Loxodonta africana (African savanna elephant)
Lineage: Eukaryota; Metazoa; Chordata; Mammalia; Proboscidea; Elephantidae
Rfam family: tRNA
About the family: Transfer RNA (tRNA) molecules are approximately 80 nucleotides in length. Their secondary structure includes four short double-helical elements and three loops (D, anti-codon, and T loops).
Source: Rfam by way of RNAcentral
GCAGUGGUGGUUCAGUGGUAAAAUCCUUGCCUUCCAUGCAGGAGACCCAAGUUCGAUUCCCGGCCAAUGUC